This 1966-nucleotide long non-coding RNA is filed under the name Daphnia pulex (common water flea). RNAcentral describes it as "uncharacterized LOC124194298, transcript variant X3". The record is from RNAcentral. Lineage: Eukaryota; Metazoa; Arthropoda; Branchiopoda; Diplostraca; Daphniidae.
CAGCAGACGACAUCCCAUCCAAUAGUUCUUUUUCUUCAAGGCUCUGUCCGAGAUGGUUACCUUAGCCAUUGGCUCAUGGCGGGGCACUUUCUUUCCUGACUUUUUUCGCAAAUGCCUGGUAAAGUCUGAGCUUCUUCAUUGCACUACGUGCACAUGAUCGCUGCCUUGUUCUGAAGAGGGUCUCUAACUCUACUAUAUUGCAAGACAAAUGAGAUUAAAAGAAGAAAUUUGAAAAGGUUUCCUUGUUCAGUUUGAACUGUCAAUGGUGUUGUCUGGUGUGCAGUUGUUUUGCAGUCAUUCAGUCGAGAGAUGCCCUGAGAUGGAUGAUCAACUGCUGAGACUUUUCUAACAUUGUCUUUUUCAAUGGGGAUGCUGUCCGAGAAGGUUUAGCUUUGCCAUUACAGGCAAGUUUCUCUCUUGACAUUAUUAGUCUUAAAAAUGUAACAGCCUGGUGAAGUCCAAGCUUUUCAUUACGUUACGUGUACGUGAUCGCUUCCGUUAAAUGCAGGUUCUUUAAUAAGAGGGUCUCCGCCCUCUUAGACUUGUUGCAGCGAGCUCUGGUGAAGGAUGUGGUGAGCUGUUGCAUGACAACCAUGUGCUUGUGUGGGGAAAGUGCUGCAUGCUGUCUGUGGUUUUCAUUGCCAGUUAGAGUAUGAGCUAAUUAUGUUGUUGGUCUGUGGUAUGCAGUUCAUGUUAAGGUGGUUUUGUUGCAGCCGCUGCUGCUGAAAGGGAGUCCAAGUCGAGUUGAGCUGCAGCUUUUGAAACAUUCAACAAUGCUGGUGUUAUUCUGAAAUGUAAAAUCAAUGAAGACAUCUUGAAAUGGUUUUCUAACUAAGAGGGUCUCUACUACAUUUCAAGAAAACGUUGUGAUGGAAAUAGGAAAUCUGAAUGAAAUACUAAUAAUGUUUCCAUGGUCAGUUUGAUGUUUGAGCUGUAUUGUUGUGGCUGUUUGGUGUGGAGUGGUUUUCCAGGAGACAUGUGUUUAAAAGGGAUAAAGCGGCUGAUGUUGGUAACAUCGCAAUCUUAUGCAACUGAGCCUUUCAUAAUUUCUACAGUGUUCGUGAUCAAUGUAAACUUCAACAUUAUUCUUCAAAUAUCUUAAAAGGAUUAAUGGCUUGGUGAGAUUGAGCUUUUUCAUGGCAGUCAAAUGUCCGCAUGGAAUUGUUGCAGCAGCUGGUGAAGGUUGUAGUGAGCUGUUGCAUGAUGACCAUGUGCUGGUGUGGGGAAGUGCUGCAUGCUGUCUGGUGUUUCCAUCGUCAGUUAGAUGUGUGAGCUAAUUAUGUUGCUCUUUUGUGUGCAGUUCAUGUUCAGGUGUUUUUGUUGCAGCCAGCUGGUGAAAGGGGGUUAAAGUUGUGUAGAGCUGUAGCUUAUUGUAGCAGUCAACAAUGCUGGUGUUAUUCUGAAGUGCAACAUCAAUGAAGACAUUCUGAAAUGAUUUGGUGACAAUGUGAUCAACAAUAUGCUGAAUGGAGUCUAUGCUGUUUUUGUUAUCAAGGAGUGGAGAAGUAAGACUAAGCAAGGCUGCAAGAAAAUGAAAUGGUCUCGGCGUAAAUGUGCAGUCGCUUUGCAGUCUCAAUCCUGUUCAAGCUGUUGCCAUCCUGAAUUAUGCUGGAGUCUUGCAAGUAGCUGAUCCUGAAGUUGGGUUGCUGCUGUUAUCCUGAAGAAGCUGAUGUUGAUGUUAUUAAGUAAAUGUGCCAGUUCAGUUCUGGUUGUUCAAAAUUAUAUCCAUGUUGUAUGUGAUUUUAGCAACCUUGAGAUUUCUUAUCAACUAAGACAUGUUGCAACCUGUUAAUAACUGAAACAGCACUCCUUCCUGAAAUUUCCUCACCCAUAUAUUUUUAAAUAAUUCUUAAAUAAUAGGAUGUCAAAACUUGCAAUAUUAUACCUUGUGCAUUGUUAUAUCUGAUAUAUUUUUCAUAAGUUAUGAAAUAUUUAAACAAAUUAAAAUACAAUCAAUUAUAUGAAA